Molecule: long non-coding RNA, 322 nt
Organism: Antrostomus carolinensis (chuck-will's-widow)
Lineage: Eukaryota; Metazoa; Chordata; Aves; Caprimulgiformes; Caprimulgidae
Exons: 3
Source: RefSeq, a predicted model, not a curated record
GGAGACUGUGCGAAAGGCAGCAGAACUAGCCCUAAAAACUUUAAGCAAGGUCUGUGUGAAAAUGUGUGAGCCCUCUAAAGGAGCAGCAGGACAGAAGACGAUAGCUGUAUUGCUCCCUUGCCUCCUAGACAAAGGAAUAGUAAGCACAGUUGCUGAAGUCCGAUCUCUCAGCAUUAACACUCUUGUGAAGAUCAGUAAAAGUGCUGGGUCUAUGCUGAAACCUCAUGCUCCAAAACUUAUCCCAGCCCUGCUGGAGUCACUGAGUGUGCUGGAGCCUCAAGUCCUCAAUUAUUUGAGUCUUUGUGCAACAGAACAGGAGAAA